RNAcentral lists this ribosomal RNA (440 nucleotides) under uncultured bacterium. RNAcentral's name for it is "partial 16S ribosomal RNA". It matches the Rfam family "Bacterial small subunit ribosomal RNA", at positions 338 to 795 of the family's 1533-position model. The record is from RNAcentral.
CCUACGGGAGGCAGCAGUGGGGAAUAUUGCACAAUGGGGGAAACCCUGAUGCAGCGACGCCGCGUGAGUGAAGAAGUAAUUCGGUAUGUAAAGCUCUUUCAGCAGGGAAGAAAAUGACGGUACCUGAGUAAGAAGCCCCGGCUAACUACGUCCCAGCAGCCGCGGUCAUACGGAGGGGGCAAGCGUUAUCCGGAUGUACUGGGUGUAAAGGGGGCGUAGACGGCAGUGCAGGUCUGGAGUGAAAGGCGGGGGCUCAACCCCGGGACUGCUCUGGAAACUGUACGGCUGGAGUGCAGGAGAGGUAAGUGGAAUUCCUAGUGUAGCGGUGAAAUGCGUAGAUAUUAGGAGGAAUACCAGUGGCGAAGGCGGCUUACUGGACUGUAACUGACGUUGAGGCUCGAAAGCGUGGGGAGCAAACAGGAUUAGAUACCCGAGUAGUC